Molecule: long non-coding RNA, 1838 nt
Organism: Ficedula albicollis (Collared flycatcher)
Lineage: Eukaryota; Metazoa; Chordata; Aves; Passeriformes; Muscicapidae
Exons: 2
Source: RefSeq, a predicted model, not a curated record
ACAUUAAAUUCUGGAAACAAGGGAGCAGCCACCCACCUCUGAUAACUCAGCCCUGCACAGGAGUAAAAUGCUUCCAUGAUUUCCACGACAGAAAAAUCAUGCAAAAAAAUAAAGAAAUUAUCCCAGGUGUUAAUUCUUGGCACACAUGGAGCAGAUCAUUCCCCAACCACCAUGCAACAUUCAGCACAACAGACACAAAAUAUUAUUAUUUCGGCUUCUUCAGUCAUGCUACCACCUGGCAUCUGCUUCAGAGGAAAUAUUAACCACUCUGGAAAAGGAGAAUGUCUUUCUGGGAAGUACCUAGGUGAAAAUUGCUCUACGGCUUCUUUGUCCUGGCUUGGAAUAGCUCUUUCCAUUAAAUUCAGCACCAGUGAGACACCCCAUGGGAACUCUGCUUUACUUCUCUCUUCUAGAGCAAGUGAUAGCUUAGAACCUAAAAUAGAAAGCUUGUUAAAGACAGUGGUAACACAAUAAACAGCACUGUUUGUCACUGAGUGUUUUCUUUUGAGAUAUUUCACUUCAGGAUAAAUAUGACAAGCAGAUCAACAUAUUUUAAAACCUCAAAACUGUCAGUGAUAUGUUGAAGUAUUUCUCUCCCUCUCCUCAUACAACGUCAACAUAUUUUACCAUCCACACUCUUCAAAAUUCAAACAACAACCUUCAGGUUUUAUAUGAUCACUUGGUUUCAAUUUUCCUAGGAAUUAUUUGGUACAGACUGUGUAACACGAUGGUGUACAACAUAUUGCAUGGUAAAAUACAGCUCUUAGAAGGUAACAGGACAAAAAAAUCCACUAUUCCAGUCCCAACAGCUGCUGUGCUUAUUUGUAAAAAUGGGCACGUUCUUCCUUCUUUUGCAAUUCACACUGUCCAUUUCUGGAUCACUGCAAGUUAGAUGUCAGGAUCUUGGAAUUUCCUGUGUAGUAAUGAGUGCUGUCCCACUGAACAUGUUAAUGGUGCUAUCCAAGAGGGAAAAGCAAAUCAAAUAUUAACCAUUCCAUUAUGUCCUUGUGCAUAACAGUGAAGGGAAUAACUGUAAUUUAUCUGGCCAUGAGGAAAGGAAGCAUUCAGGAAGCAGCAUUUUUAUCCUUUGGAGCUGCUCCUCAGCCAACAAACGAGCAGAUCCAUCCCCAACCCCACAGACUCAGCUAAUGCUGAGGAGCCUCAGGAACCUCUUGCCUAUGUUGCACUGUGCUUUCCCAGGUCUGCAAUUCCACAUGCAAAGGUCAGGUCAGCACAAAACAACUGCAAUGUUUGCUGUUCAAUUCCUAUAAAUAUCCUACAAACAUGCCAGGGAUUAAAUCAGCCUCCUGUCAAAACCUCUCUGAAGGUUUCAUCCAAAUUAACCUUUGUUACCUUUGCUACUCUGAGUCCCCCCCGGAAAAUAGGAAGUUCCUGGGAAAGAGGCUCUCAAGCCAAGCACUCACUUAUUCCUGCAUCUUUCAGCAAUUUUAAAUUGCAAAUUUAAUCCUAUUACAGAUCUACCCCAGAGGUCUCGAUACGGGCAACAAUCCCCCAUUUAUUGCUACUAUUUAACUUCCUUAUAAUUUAGCCACAUCAUCUAAAUAUCCUCAGCUCAAGUCCAAGUAUCCAAUUAAACCCACAGAAAAGUAACAGUUAAACAUGGCACGAGAACAUUUUGUAUCAAGCAGAGGAUUAGUUUUAUUUCCAGGCAUGAGAAAUUUAAGGCCAGAUUUCUCAAGAAUACAAUUCAUUCGGAAAAAAGCAACAAAAAAUUGCCAUCAGCACGUGGUACCACUGCUUCUCCUCUCCUCACACAGUUUAUUGCACACAUUUUUGUCCAGUGCAAGCAGAACAGGGGUGAACAGCACAAUGACAGA